UGGGGAAUAUUGCACAAUGGGCGCAAGCCUGAUGCAGCCAUGCCGCGUGUAUGAAGAAGGCCUUCGGGUUGUAAAGUACUUUCAGUCGGGAGGAAGGUGGUAAGGUUAAUAACCUUAUCAAUUGACGUUACCGACAGAAGAAGCACCGGCUAACUCCGUGCCAGCAGCCGCGGUAAUACGGAGGGUGCAAGCGUUAAUCGGAAUUACUGGGCGUAAAGCGCACGCAGGCGGUUGAUUGAGUCAGAUGUGAAAUCCCCGGGCUUAACCCGGGGAUUGCAUCUGAUACUGGUCAGCUAGAGUCUUGGAGAGGGGGGUAGAAUUCCAUGUGUAGCGGUGAAAUGCGUAGAGAUGUGGAGGAAUACCGGUGGCGAAGGCGGCCCCCUGGACAAAGACUGACGCUCAGGUGCGAAAGCGUGGGGAGCAAACAGG
Molecule: ribosomal RNA, 429 nt
Filed under: Chloroflexota bacterium
Lineage: Bacteria; Bacillati; Chloroflexota
Description: Chloroflexi bacterium partial 16S ribosomal RNA
Rfam family: Bacterial small subunit ribosomal RNA
Source: RNAcentral